This 49-nucleotide ribosomal RNA is filed under the name Valeriana officinalis (common valerian). Its description in RNAcentral is "partial 18S ribosomal RNA". It matches the Rfam family "Eukaryotic small subunit ribosomal RNA", at positions 1784 to 1831 of the family's 1831-position model. RNAcentral also lists the same sequence under 2 other names. The record is from RNAcentral. Lineage: Eukaryota; Viridiplantae; Streptophyta; Magnoliopsida; Dipsacales; Caprifoliaceae.
AGAAGUCGUAACAAGGUUUCCGUAGGUGAACCUGCGGAAGGAUCAUUGU